This 439-nucleotide ribosomal RNA is filed under the name uncultured bacterium. RNAcentral's name for it is "partial 16S ribosomal RNA". It matches the Rfam family "Bacterial small subunit ribosomal RNA", at positions 339 to 795 of the family's 1533-position model. The record is from RNAcentral.
CUACGGGGUGCUCCAGUGGGGAAUAUUGCACAAUGGGGGAAACCCUGAUGCAGCAACGCCGCGUGGAGGAUGACGCAUUUCGGUGUGUAAACUCCUUUUAUAUAGGAAGAUAAUGACGGUACUAUAUGAAUAAGCACCGGCUAACUCCGUGCCAGCAGCCGCGGUAAUACGGAGGGUGCAAGCGUUACUCGGAAUCACUGGGCGUAAAGCGCGCGCAGGCGGCUCUUUAAGUUGGAUGUGAAAGCCUACGGCUCAACCGUAGAACUGCAUCCAAAACUGAAGAGCUAGAGUCUGGGAGGGGAAGAUGGAAUUAGUUGUGUAGGGGUAAAAUCCGUAGAGAUAACUAGGAAUACCAAAAGCGAAGGCGAUCUUCUGGAACAGUACUGACGCUGAGGCGCGAAAGCGUGGGGAGCAAACAGGAUUAGAUACCCCGGUAGUC